AACGAACGCUGGCGGCAUGCCUAACACAUGCAAGUCGAACGAAGUCUUCGGACUUAGUGGCGCACGGGUGCGUAACGCGUGGGAAUCUGCCCUUGGGUACGGAAUAACUCAGAGAAAUUUGUGCUAAUACCGUAUAAUGUCUUCGGACCAAAGAUUUAUCGCCCAAGGAUGAGCCCGCGUAAGAUUAGCUAGUUGGUGGGGUAAAAGCCUACCAAGGCGACGAUCUUUAGCUGGUCUGAGAGGAUGAUCAGCCACACUGGGACUGAGACACGGCCCAGACUCCUACGGGAGGCAGCAGUGGGGAAUAUUGGACAAGGGGCGAAAGCCUGAGCCAGCAAUGCCGCGUGAGUGAUGAAGGCCCUAGGGUUGUAAAGCUCUUUUACCAGGGAUGAUAAUGACAGUACCUGGAGAAUAAGCUCCGGCUAACUCCGUG
This 433-nucleotide ribosomal RNA is filed under the name uncultured bacterium. RNAcentral describes it as "partial 16S ribosomal RNA". It matches the Rfam family "Bacterial small subunit ribosomal RNA", at positions 29 to 507 of the family's 1533-position model. The record is from RNAcentral.